UUAAAAUGGGAUUAGAUACCCCACUAUAUGGAGUGAAAANUAGUAGAAGCACUAAAACCCCCAGGUUAAAACUUAAAGAGCAUGGCGGCGAACUUAACUCUUCAGGGGAAUUUACCAGAUAAUUGACAACCCACAAGAAGCCUCUCUCACCCUCACAGUUUGUAUGCCGCCGUCUUCAGGUAACGCCUAAGGUUUUACCAGCCAUCUAACGGAUAAAAGACAGGUCAUGGUGCAGCUAAUGGUUGCGUGCUAGGUGAGUUACAAUAAGAAAUGUUUUCCGCUACAAGCAUUAAAGCAGCUUGUAAAAGCAGGACUUGAAAGUAAUUAUUAGGUCAGUAACUAUUGAAUAACUUAUAAGUUCGUGCACACNCCNCCC
Molecule: ribosomal RNA, 376 nt
Filed under: Laemodonta typica
Lineage: Eukaryota; Metazoa; Mollusca; Gastropoda; Ellobiida; Ellobiidae
Description: partial 12S ribosomal RNA
Source: RNAcentral